CCUAAGGGUACUGCGGAGGAUCAUUAUUGAAUGAAAUUGAGUGGGGUUGUCGCUGGCCUUUCACCGGGCAUGUGCACACCUCAUUCAACCUCUCUAUACCUCUGUGCACUUCUCAUGGGUUGGGCUGCGUCUGAAAUAUUGGCAAGGCCCCUCUCAUGUGUUUUAUACAAACUAUACAUGUUUUAGAAUGUCUAUACAAUGCGUAAAAGCAUAUAAUACAACUUUCAACAACGGAUCUCUUGGCUCUCGCAUCGAUGAAGAACGCAGCGAAAUGCGAUAAGUAAUGUGAAUUGCAGAAUUCAGUGAAUCAUCGAAUCUUUGAACGCACCUUGCGCUCCUUGGUAUUCCGAGGAGCAUGCUUGUUUGAGUGUCAUGGUAUUCUCAACCCUCCUGCAUUUUUUAUUAAAUGCGGUUGGGCUUGGACUUGGAGGCUUUGCUGGUGUCUGAAUAAUUUUUUAUUCGGACGUGGGCUCCUCUGAAAUGCAUUAGCUUGAAUAAAUCCAAGCAUGAUCCAGUGUGAUAAUUGUCUACGCUGCCUCAUCUCGGAAUAAAAAAAAUUCUAGCUUCUAACCGUCCUCCGGGACUUACUCUGAACAUCUGACCUCAAAUCAAGUAGGACUACCCGCUGAACUUAAGCAUAU
The sequence is a ribosomal RNA, 641 nucleotides long. The stretch from base 220 to 373 matches the Rfam family "5.8S ribosomal RNA".